GUGACAUUAUUGUCAACAAACCCACGUGGAGCACAAAUGAUUUACAAUGGUUGACUGGAAGUGACAGGCCUUCUCUUCAAAAUAAAAAAGGAUGGGCCAAAACUGUAAAAUCUGGACAGAAAUUAAGACGCAAGCAUAAGAACUACAUUGUGUUUUGUAUACAUGUGUCCCUGCUACGGAGGCAGCUAACAGAAAGGGGAUAUAAUUAAGAUUGCAUUGUGGAUUUGCCCUGUGCCACCUCUAAAUGGCAGAAGAAAACUCAACUCAGCACAACCAGAAACACUUUUCUGAAGAAAAUUCUGCCAAGAGACAGUUGUGAAUGGAAUCGUGUAGAUAAUCUCUAGAAAAGAAAUCACCAUUGAUAUUGGGAUGUAUGUUAGAACAAUCAUCAAAGACAAAUUUACCACAGGAAUAAAAAUAAAACUGUCUGGCAUUCAAGGGCCUGCCAUGGUAGAAGCUCUCCUGAAAAAAAUAUUCCAUUUAUUGUGGACAUCAUGACA
Molecule: long non-coding RNA, 500 nt
Organism: Saccostrea cuccullata (small rock oyster)
Lineage: Eukaryota; Metazoa; Mollusca; Bivalvia; Ostreida; Ostreidae
Exons: 3
Source: RefSeq, a predicted model, not a curated record